RNAcentral lists this ribosomal RNA (500 nucleotides) under uncultured bacterium. RNAcentral's name for it is "bacterial SSU rRNA". It matches the Rfam family "Bacterial small subunit ribosomal RNA", at positions 28 to 514 of the family's 1533-position model. The record is from RNAcentral.
GAUGAACGCUAGCUACAGGCUUAACACAUGCAAGUCGAGGGGAAACGAUAUUGGAAGCUUGCUUCCGAUAGGCGUCGACCGGCGCACGGGUGAGUAACGCGUAUCCAACCUGCCCAUCACUUGGGAAUAACCUUGCGAAAGUAAGACUAAUGCCCAAUGACAUUUAUAGAAGGCAUCUGAAAUGAAUUAAAGAUUUAUCGGUGAUGGAUGGGGAUGCGUCUGAUUAGCUUGUUGGCGGGGUAACGGCCCACCAAGGCGACGAUCAGUAGGGGUUCUGAGAGGAAGGUCCCCCACACUGGUACUGAGACACGGACCAGACUCCUACGGGAGGCAGCAGUGAGGAAUAUUGGUCAAAUGGGGCGGAAGCCUGAACCAGCCAAGUAGCGUGCAGGACGACGGCCCUAUGGGUUGUAAACUGCUUUUAUGCGGGGAUAAAGUGAGUCUCGUGAGACUUUUUGCAUGUACCUAUGAAUAAGGACCGGCUAAUUCCGUGCCAGCAG